This is a long non-coding RNA of Daucus carota subsp. sativus, 606 nucleotides long. RefSeq lists it as uncharacterized. Lineage: Eukaryota; Viridiplantae; Streptophyta; Magnoliopsida; Apiales; Apiaceae. The transcript has 3 exons. The record is from RefSeq and is a predicted model, not a curated record.
GAAUUCGGGGGAUAGUGGUAGUGAAGGACAGGAGAGUCGUAUCGUAGUACGAAAUAUAUAUGGGAGAGCCAAACGUAGCUGCUCUGUUGGUGAUUAUGGUACGGUACCAGCCACGGAGGCAGAAAAGCAGACCGUCCAUUUCCUGAAUGGCGCAAAUAUUAGAGAUAAAAGGAAGAAAAAGACUUUAAGUUAUAUUAUGAAAGUGAAAUGGAAUGAAGAUACACAUGAAAAAAAAAGGAAAGGAACGUGAAGCCUUCUUUGACUCAUGCCUCAAAGAAUUCAAGGACUAUUAUGUCUAUCAAAAGGGACUGAAGCCAGGAGAGGGGGAUAGAGCUGCUAAAGAGUUCAUGAGCAAGAAAUGGAAGAGUAUCCCUUAUGAGGAAAAGAGUCGGGCUGAUUUAUCAGCUGAAAAUGCAAGGAAAGGGGGAAUGAAAUCAGCUACUCGGCGUGAUUUCAAGCCUCAUUACUUCAACAAACGCACCUGGGAUAAACUGUGUAAUUAUUGGGAGAGUAAAGAGUUUCAAAUUAAGUCAAAAAAUGGAAAAGAAGCCCGAAAGAAGGUGGAACACAUCCAUCACAGAGGGGCCAAGUCUUUUGACGAGAGAC